ACUGCGGUAGUUUAAUUAAAACACCUGCCUAUCAAGCAGGGGAUGAAGGUCCAAUCCUUCCCGCAGUUC
RNAcentral lists this transfer RNA (69 nucleotides) under Kroppenstedtia guangzhouensis. Its description in RNAcentral is "tRNA-Asp". It matches the Rfam family "tRNA". Rfam says of the family: Transfer RNA (tRNA) molecules are approximately 80 nucleotides in length. Their secondary structure includes four short double-helical elements and three loops (D, anti-codon, and T loops). The record is from RNAcentral. Lineage: Bacteria; Bacillati; Bacillota; Bacilli; Caryophanales; Thermoactinomycetaceae.